GGAUCGCUAGUAAUCGCGGAUCAGCAUGCCGCGGUGAAUACGUUCCCGGGCCUUGUACACACCGCCCGUCACACCAUGAGAGUUUGUAACACCCAAAGUCGGUGGGGUAACCUUUUAGGAACCAGCCGCCUAAGGUGGGACAGAUGAUUAGGGUGAAGUCGUAACAAGGUAGCCGUAGGAGAACCUGCGGCUGGAUCACCUCCUUUC
This 207-nucleotide ribosomal RNA is filed under the name Lactiplantibacillus plantarum. Its description in RNAcentral is "Lactobacillus plantarum partial 16S rRNA". It matches the Rfam family "Bacterial small subunit ribosomal RNA", at positions 1329 to 1533 of the family's 1533-position model. Lineage: Bacteria; Bacillati; Bacillota; Bacilli; Lactobacillales; Lactobacillaceae. The record is from RNAcentral.